RNAcentral lists this ribosomal RNA (464 nucleotides) under uncultured Basidiomycota. RNAcentral's name for it is "eukaryotic LSU rRNA". The stretch from base 129 to 282 matches the Rfam family "5.8S ribosomal RNA". Lineage: Eukaryota; Fungi; Basidiomycota. The record is from RNAcentral.
GCCCUUGGUGAACCUGCGGAAGGAUCAUUAUUGAAUUCGGCCUCCUGGCCUUAUACAUUAAAAACACUGUGAACCGUGGCUUCGGCCCAAACUUGAAGUCUAGAAUGUAACAUAUCAUAACAAAAUACAACUUUUAACAACGGAUCUCUUGGCUCUCGCAUCGAUGAAGAACGCAGCGAAAUGCGAUAAGUAAUGUGAAUUGCAGAAUUCAGUGAAUCAUCGAAUCUUUGAACGCACCUUGCGCCCUCUGGUAUUCCGGAGGGCAUGCCUGUUUGAGUGUCAUGAACACCUCACCCCCUCGGGUUUCCGAUCGGGUGGACUUGGGUGCUGCCAGUUACAUGGCUCGCCUUAAAUGCAUUAGCGGUUGUUGACGUAAUAAGUUUCGUCUUGUCGACCGCUCCUAAUCUCCUUCGGGAUGUCUUCGGACACUUCAUGAUCUGACCUCAAAUCAGGUAGGACUACCC